GUGGGGCCAGCGUUUGGCCGUUCAGACCGGAGGUCGGGUCACAUCCCACAGGUAUGUCCACUUCCCAGGCCGCAAGCUGCUCAGAGGCCGCCCAGGUGUCCCUCCAGUUCUUGAGAACCAGCUGAGGACAGGACACGGGCCCUCAGUGUUGUCCUGGCUGUUGGCCUCGCAGUGGCGACGGCAGGGUGUCGAGGCCGGAUGCGGACAGAGCGGGCACUGCGUCUGGAAGCAGGACUCCCCCUGGACCCAGUGUUUGUCCCAGGCCUCCAGCCGAUGGACGAGGCCCCGCACACCCUGUCGAGGGGACCUCGCUGCCUUGGCCCGGCCCCCUGACUGCACCUGCAGACUGCAUCGACAACCCCCCUGGGGCCGCAGGUGACCGGGUUUGAUGACGCGACAGAGCACGAUGGCUACGCCGGUCCACGCAGAGGAGUGCCCUCGCUGACCUGCCCCGGCCGGCCAGCAGCGGGCAUUGGUGACCGCCGGCACAGGGGCGCCUGCUGGGAGCUGCCCUGUCCUGCAGAGGAGUCCAGGCUUCACGUGGAGACUCCCCUGCCUUGGCGAGUCCAGCCCCUGCACUCCAGCAGGAGCUGCUCCAGACUGCCCAACAGGGCGCCAGGCCCGGUUUCCAGCAGUGUCGCCCACCAGCAGAUGAAGUCCUGUCAUCUGGGCUUUGCUGAGGACUGCGAAUUUAAUGUAUUUUAAGGAUGGACUACUCAUUGCUUCUCGCAAGGUGUAUGAAGACACCAUCCACUUGGAGUUAGAGUAACCUGGCCUCCAGUCCACAUUCCUAGACACUGACCUUGCUCAGGAUACUGCACUCAGGUUCUCCUAACUUUAGCCAAGAUUCAACCUGCUGGACGUGCCCUUCAUUACUGCAUUCACUACCUGUGUCCUGAGCUGCAGUGCGGUUCUAUAAGUAUGCGGCCAAUAUUCGAAUUAAUGAGGGCAUUCACACUGACCUCGUGAGGCACUGGAAAUGGUAUCCAGUGUUUUCCCCAGUUUAGAAGCAUUGCAGAGAUCACCUGCCCAGGUGUUGUGCUCUGUCCACCCCACACACCUGCAGUCACCAGUGGUCAUCCAGGUAUAAUUCUGCUUUCUGCAUUGUAUUUCCUGUAUGCUUAUUUUAGCUUAACUUCACAACAUUGUCCCCACUACAGGAUACCUCAACACCCAUCAUGAAGAGACUACAAAAAUGUAGACCCUUUGGAUGUAAAAGCUAUAAAUUAUGUGCUAUUCAGUAUGUGAGAACCAAGAGUCGGGAGCUGCGCUUGUCCCCUGGUGGGGCGGCAUAGGGGUCAUCCGCCCUGUGCAUGUGUUCAGAUGCAUGUGUGCACACAAAACUGGGUCAAAUUUAGUAAAAGGAACA
Ictidomys tridecemlineatus (thirteen-lined ground squirrel) is the source of this 1369-nucleotide non-coding RNA. The record is from RefSeq and is a predicted model, not a curated record. NCBI's taxonomy places the organism in Eukaryota, Metazoa, Chordata, Mammalia, Rodentia, Sciuridae.